AACGCCAGAGCCGCGCGCUAGGCGGAGACUGUUGGUGGCGGAGGCCGGAGUCGCACGCCUACGAGACUGCGCGGACCCGCCCGAAAGGAAAAUGGAAGUAGUGGCGUGAGGCUGCGACAGUGAAGGCUAUUUUUCUCUUUUUAAAGGGCCGCUAGACCUCCCGUAUAAAGGAAGCGCCCGACGGGCCUCCGAAGUACACGCCCAGGCCCCCAUAGCGCAGCCGCCCGACCGCCUCUCUCCACACCGGCCAGAGUCCACCCUCUCCCACUUUCCCCUCCCCUCCCCGCCCCUUCCCUCCCCACCCCUCCCCGCCCCUUCCCUCCCCACCCCUUCCCUCCCCACCCCUUCGCCCUGCCAACCCUAGACCCGGCAUGCGCUGCGCCGACCUUUUCCUUCCGAGCCGACCCCCCCCACCUUCGGCGCCUCCCAAUGACAAGCGGCGCGGAGCAUUGUGGUCCCGUGCGCAAGAGCGAGGCCGAGGGCAGAAAAAGAAAGCAAAAGACUAGGGCGAGUCGGUAGAGCGGGCCCCGCGCAUGCGCAAGGGCGGAGGCGGUGGUGAAAAAGGGUGGUGCGUGGUCUACGGCGAGCGGAGUGGGGCGGGGUCGCGCGCCUUGGCGGGGAGUCCGCGAGCCAGGAGGGGCGGGGGGUGAAUGAAGGAGCGGGCGGAGGAGGAAGUGUCAUGGCGUCGGGCCGUGGAGCUUCUUCUCGCUGGUUCUUUACUCGGGAACAGCUGGAGAACACGCCGAGCCGCCGCUGCGGAGUGGAGGCGGAUAAAGAGCUCUCGUGCCGCCAGCAGGCGGCCAACCUCAUCCAGGAGAUGGGACAGCGUCUCAAUGUCUCUCAGCUUACGAUAAACACUGCGAUUGUUUAUAUGCACAGGUUUUAUAUGCACCAUUCUUUCACCAAAUUCAACAAAAAUAUAAUAUCGUCUACUGCAUUAUUUUUGGCUGCAAAAGUGGAAGAACAGGCUCGAAAACUUGAACAUGUUAUCAAAGUAGCACAUGCUUGUCUUCAUCCUCUAGAGCCACUGCUGGAUACUAAAUGUGAUGCUUACCUUCAACAGACUCAAGAACUGGUUAUACUUGAAACCAUAAUGCUACAAACUCUAGGUUUUGAGAUCACCAUUGAACACCCACACACAGAUGUGGUGAAAUGUACCCAGUUAGUAAGAGCAAGCAAGGAUUUGGCACAGACAUCCUAUUUCAUGGCUACCAACAGGUUGUUAUCCUGACCCUCUUUGUUGCACUGUUGUAGCACACUAUAGCUUCCUUUAAUGCAGGGCCCCCUCAAUGUGUCUCUUACCCUUGUUGCGACAGGAGACUGGACCAUCUACUGUGGUGGUACCUUCCUGUUUGCUUUGCGGUGUAUUGUACAAGGGACUUUGGGCACAGAGGGGUUAAAUGCACAAUGUGAAGUGUAGUGGUGCUUUCUGAUGACAUAUUCUCGAUUUGUGAGUGCAUAAGUCUAAAAUUGGUAGCCUGAAUAGCAGCUAAAGAUUACAAAGAGCUAAACUUAACGUAGAAAUUCGAGCAACUUGUCUGCAUCUUACAACCUUCUGUCUUCAGUACAAACCAACAGUGAUAGCAUGUGUAUGCAUUCAUUUGGCUUGCAAAUGGUCCAAUUGGGAGAUCCCUGUAUCAACUGAUGGAAAGCAUUGGUGGGAAUAUGUGGAUCCUACAGUUACUCUAGAAUUAUUAGAUGAGCUAACACAUGAGUUUCUACAAAUAUUGGAGAAAACGCCUAAUAGGUUGAAGAAGAUUCGAAACUGGAGGGCUAAUCAGGCAGCUAGGAAACCAAAAGUAGAUGGACAGGUAUCAGAGACACCACUUCUUGGUUCAUCUUUGGUCCAGAAUUCCAUUUUAGUAGAUAGUGUCACUGGUGUGCCUACAAACCCAAGUUUUCAGAAACCAUCUACAUCAGCAUUCCCUGCACCAGUACCUCUAAAUUCAGGAAAUAUUUCUGUUCAAGACAGCCAUACAUCUGAUAAUUUGUCAAUGCUAGCAACAGGAAUGCCAAGUACUUCAUACGGUUUAUCAUCACACCAGGAAUGGCCUCAACAUCAAGACUCAGCAAGGACAGAACAGCUAUAUUCACAGAAACAGGAGACAUCUUUGUCUGGUAGCCAGUACAACAUCAACUUCCAGCAGGGACCUUCUAUAUCACUGCAUUCAGGAUUACAUCACAGACCUGACAAAAUUUCAGAUCAUUCUUCUGUUAAGCAAGAAUAUACUCAUAAAGCAGGGAGCAGUAAACACCAUGGGCCAAUUUCCGCUACUCCAGGAAUAAUUCCUCAGAAAAUGUCUUUAGAUAAAUAUAGAGAAAAGCGUAAACUAGAAACUCUUGAUCUCGAUGUAAGGGAUCAUUAUAUAGCUGCCCAGGUAGAACAGCAGCACAAACAAGGGCAGUCACAGGCAGCCAGCAGCAGUUCUGUUACUUCUCCCAUUAAAAUGAAAAUACCUAUCGCAAAUACUGAAAAAUACAUGGCAGAUAAAAAGGAAAAGAGUGGGUCACUGAAAUUACGGAUUCCAAUACCACCCACUGAUAAAAGCGCCAGUAAAGAAGAACUGAAAAUGAAAAUAAAAGUUUCUUCUUCAGAAAGACACAGCUCUUCUGAUGAAGGCAGUGGGAAGAGCAAACAUUCAAGCCCACAUAUUAGCAGAGACCAUAAGGAGAAGCACAAGGAGCAUCCUUCAAGCCGCCACCACACCAGCAGCCACAAGCAUUCCCACUCGCAUAGUGGCAGCAGCAGCGGUGGCAGUAAACACAGUGCCGACGGAAUACCACCCACUGUUCUGAGGAGUCCUGUUGGCCUGAGCAGUGAUGGCAUUUCCUCUAGCUCCAGCUCUUCAAGGAAGAGGCUGCAUGUCAAUGAUGCAUCUCACAACCACCACUCCAAAAUGAGCAAAAGUUCCAAAAGUUCAGGUGGGCUACGGACAUCUCAGCACCCUCGUGAAACUGGACAAGAAGCCAGUGGAGACCAACGGUCCUGAUGCCAAUCACGAGUACAGUACAAGCAGCCAGCAUAUGGACUACAAAGACACAUUCGACAUGCUGGACUCGCUGUUAAGUGCCCAAGGAAUGAACAUGUAAUAAUUUGUUUAGGUCAAUUUUUCCUUUACUUUUUUAAUUUAAAAAUUGUUAGAAUGGAAAAAUUCCUUCUGAUCUAGCAGUGGUAACCCCUGCUGUUGCUGCCACUGCUUCAAUAUUUGUAAGUGCUGCUUUAUUCUUCAUUCUGAAAAGAAGAGAUUAUAGUAAACAAGUCUUUAUCUCCACAUAUGAUAGUGUUAUAAAUACUGUAAAAGCAUGGAAGGUGCAAAACUCAGUAUUUCUACAAUUGCAGCUAAGAACAUUAGGAUGAAUGGCUGGCUGCUUCUAGGAAUAUAAGAUGCCUCAAGCAUUCAUUAUUUAUGAUUUGAAUACUGUAGCUAUUUUUUGUUGCUUGGCUUUUGAAUGAGUGUAAAUUGUUUUCUUUUGUGUAUUUAUACUUGUAUGUAUGAUUUGCAUGUUUCAAUGAUAAAGGGAUAAAACAGUAUACUGACAACUGUUUACAAGAAAGUGGAGAAAAAUGUACAUACAUUUUUGUAUGUUUAGAUAUUACCAUAAAUACUCAGGAUUGGAGCUGCUUGUAAGUAUAACAAUAUACAGAAUAACUUUAUUUUAUCUUGUCAGAGUCCAUCACUAAUCUAAAACAAAGGUGGCACUUUUUUAUGUUAACCUUAAACUCUAGGCCUUACUGGAAGCCACUGAUAGGGGACACUUCACUACCAGAUGUGUAUGCAGUGCCACAGAUGGUCAUAUACACUGUGAGGCACUGAAAUUUUGCCUUCAGAGGUUCUGACCAGAUUGGCUGCUGAAAUAGCCCCUAACUUUCUGAAGGCUUGAAGAGGAGAAAAUAAAGUUUACAUACUCUUGAUGUGAAGUGCAUUUAAAUGUUUGUUGGCUUGUUGCAGUUCUAUGAAACAGAGCUGUUAAUAAUGGUUAUGUGGAUUACUGUGAUUUGAAAACUAAAUUCACAAUAACUUACCUAGUAGAGAUUUAGUGAGUUGUUUCCUUUAAAGAAUUUUACACUACAUAUUUUAAUAGUAAACAGGGAUCACUUUUCCUUUAGCAUUCAGAAUGACACCAUAUUCUUAAAUAUACUCCUUCCCUGAAGCGUGUUUGUGUGUGAUGCCAUAUUUCUUUUUCAGGUAAAUGUAGUCUUCCUUAUAAAAAUGAAAUUAAACCUAUGCUCUCAAUUCUUUUAUAUUCUAACAAUAAAUAAAAAAGAAAAGAUUACUGACUGUGCAUUGUACCUGUAUUUAUAGUUUAUGGUUAUCAGGAAGCUCUGUAAGAAAGAAAAGGUCAGCCUCCCAGGCAAACCAGUAGUGGAGGUUUUACAUUUGUUUGCACAUCUCAGUAUAUUUCUGUUGAGGUAAAGUUUGCACAGUCAUCUGACUUCUGAUCAAGCAUUAUAUUUUAACUUGUUUAGAUUUUGUCUUAAACACCAGUAAUAUGGCUCUUGUUUAUCAGCUAAUCUUGAAUUUAUUCUGUGGUAAAUCUUUUGAGUUGUUGAGUAUAUUUGAGAUUGAUUGGAUUCAACCUCUCGUUGAACUGAAAACUUAAUUUUUUCUCUGUAUUUUUGUUACAAAGCCACUGAUACGUGCACAAUUGUAAUUAAGUAUGUUGCAGUUGUAAAUAUUAGAGUUUAAUCUCAUGCUCUACCUUUAUUUAGCAAUUACCUAAUUUGCCAGUAGCUUUAUAAUUUUUAAAGAUAAUUGUUCAUUAUUUUGUCAAUGUUAUUUGAACUUGGGGUACUUAGGAGCCUCUUUGUAGGGACUGUGCCUAGGUAGCAUGUCCUAACAUUUGUUCUUGUCUUGCAUAACUUCAGUAAUCUUUGUCAUUAUAUGUAACUUUGUUGCUCUGUAUGGCAUAAUAUUGUAUCCAUAAACAUGGUAAUUUUGAUACAGUUAUACUUUUACAGUGGUACAUAAUCCAAGGACUAGUAUAGAAUUAAGCUGAGUGCAAGAUGAGGGAGGGAAGGGCUUUCUUGGUAAUUUAGAUGUGAAACCUCUACAGAGCUAUCAUGUAAAAACUACAUAAGGUGGUUGUGCUACUGUAUAAUUGGGGGUGAUAAUACCAGGAAUUUUAAUAAGAUUUUGUAAAGAAUAUCCAGAAAAGUAGUGAACUUAUUUUCAGUAGACAUAGAAAACAAUGUGAAUAUUUAAGGUCUGUGACUAUAGUUAAACUUCACUAAGAAUUUGCAGAAUUGUUUUGAGAUGUGGGAAUAAAGGUAAUUUUAUUGAAUCUUCAUUGGUGCUAAUGAUGGACAGUUAAAAAGAUAGCUAGUGUAUAUUGUUAUGGGUCAGUACUUAUUAGUACUUCCAAAAUUGAAUUUGAAAUGCUAUGUAUUCACUUUUCACUCUGUAAAUGUAAUUCUUUACAAUGACUUUAUUUAUUAAAGGGCAGCCAGUUGUCAUUUUUACAGGAUUGUGUGAGCUAUUCAAACUCUUCAACCCCUGAACAGGGUAUUAAGCUUCCAAAAUAAUGAUGGGGAUAAAUAUGGAAAUCCUUUUUAAGUUGUAUUUCCAUUAAACAAAAACCCUUAUAAUUCAUACUAUCAUGAAUUUGCUUUAUCCAUCUCAUUUGCAUAACAGUUCAUCUGCCUGGUCCCAUUAGGCUCUACCAAAGAAAGACUCUGAUGAGUGGACAUUAUUACUGUGACUCUUGUAAGUAGCCAUAAAUAAACCAAAAUAGUAUCAAAUUUAGGUAUGAAAUUCCACAUGUGCAAAGUACUGUUAAGGUGAUAACAUUUUUGAUGAGAUUUAAAAAAAAUAUUUGAAAUAUUAAAAAGCAUUAUCUUUAAACAUCCUAUAAAA
This is an RNA transcript of Pan troglodytes (chimpanzee), 5855 nucleotides long. It is a transcript of the gene named cyclin T2, with no coding region annotated. The record is from RefSeq and is a predicted model, not a curated record. The transcript is spliced from 10 exons. Lineage: Eukaryota; Metazoa; Chordata; Mammalia; Primates; Hominidae.